Dermacentor albipictus is the source of this 982-nucleotide long non-coding RNA. RefSeq lists it as uncharacterized. NCBI's taxonomy places the organism in Eukaryota, Metazoa, Arthropoda, Arachnida, Ixodida, Ixodidae. The record is from RefSeq and is a predicted model, not a curated record.
CGCCUUUUUGUGAGUGCAUAUCGCGAAACUGGUUUCUUCGGAAUUCGCUCCAAAGUUCCAGCGAUGGCGCCUCAUGGGAAUGCCUACUUAUCGUCGAAUCCUGCUUGUUACAUCUUCCAUGCACUGCUGAUGCAAGCCAUCGUACCUGCCUUUCGACCUCGUGUCGUACCAGCUGGAAGAGCUGUAAAGAGUGCCACGCUGGAAGCCCCGAUGCGUCGAUAAUCUCGCUUCGCCGCUUCAACGAUCUUCGCCAAGCGCAUGCGCACCUAGCAAGCUUCGGGAUCCGUUAUAAGUGGGCCUUAUGCUCCUUGGCGAUCAUUUGGCAGCGGUGGCUGCUCGUGGGAACACCUACUAAUCGUCGUAUCCUGCUUCUUACAGGUAUGACUGCUACAUCGUGAACUCGCAACCCGUCACGUUCGUGGAGCCACUUCCAAGCGUCCGCGUUUGCGCCGUCUGCUCGGUUGUUCCUGCCACGGCCGUGCACCUUCCCUGCGGCCAAACCCUGUGUGAGAUGUGCAAGCACAACGCCUUCGUCCGUCCGACAGCACAGCUGCACCGAGACGCCAGUGUCGUAGCCAGGCACCGCGGAGGCCUGUGUCCCGUGGACCUAAACCUGCUUUGCCGAAUUCGAGCUGAAUGCCAUGACCUUCCCCCUGGUUCAGCUGCACCACCAAUGCGCCUUCUGUGUCGACAGACGCUUCGGCUGUGCAUUCCUAUAGCCGAGCUGAGAUAACUUAAGGGGCACUAUUCAGCGGCUGCUGCAUGCGACACAAGACCUGCCACCAUUGUGGACAGGACAACAUCCUGGCAUGUGACACUAGGCAGCAUUCGAGGCGCUGCUUGCCAUUGUAGAGGCGAAGGUCUAAGCAGAAGCCUAGCCAAGAAUUAACAUCACCAGCCGCAAGUGCAGAGGUGCAACUUCCAUGAAGAACACUUGUAUUUUUAAUAUCGCAAUACGUGAAUGAAGAAUAAUGUUCUUGUA